CCCUUAGAUGUUCUGGGCUGCACACGUGCUACACUGGCAGGUUCAGCGAGCUUCAUGCCCUGAUCUGAAAGGAAUGGGAAAUCUUUUCAAAACCUGCCGUGCUUGGGAUAGAUGUUUGCAAUUAUUCAUCUUCAACGAGGAUUGCCUUGUAAGCGCACGUCAUCAGCGUGCAUUGAAUACGACCCUGUAUUCUGCACACACCGCCCGUCGCUCCUACCGAUUGAAGUUUUCGGUGAGUUGACAGGAGGAUUUUUUUGAAACUGGUUCGCCAGUGGAUUUUAGAUCCAAAUGCCAACGAAUCGAUGGCUUUAGAGGAAGGAGAAGUCGUAACA
RNAcentral lists this ribosomal RNA (332 nucleotides) under uncultured eukaryote. RNAcentral describes it as "partial 18S ribosomal RNA". It matches the Rfam family "Eukaryotic small subunit ribosomal RNA", at positions 1470 to 1796 of the family's 1831-position model. The record is from RNAcentral.